UACGUAGGGGGCAAGCGUUGUCCGGAUUUAUUGGGCGUAAAGAGCGUGUAGGCGGCCAUGUAGGUCCGUUGUGAAAACUCGAGGCUCAACCUCAAGACGCCGAUGGAAACCAUGUGGCUAGAGUCCGGAAGAGGAGAGUGGAAUUCCUGGUGUAGCGGUGAAAUGCGCAGAUAUCAGGAAGAACACCCGUGGCUAAGGCGGCUCUCUAGUACGGUACUGACGCUGAGACGCGAAAGCGUGGGGAGCGAACAGG
Molecule: ribosomal RNA, 253 nt
Filed under: uncultured bacterium
Lineage: Bacteria
Description: partial 16S ribosomal RNA
Rfam family: Bacterial small subunit ribosomal RNA
Source: RNAcentral